RNAcentral lists this transfer RNA (64 nucleotides) under Centrocolumna ericea. Its description in RNAcentral is "tRNA-Arg". Lineage: Eukaryota; Metazoa; Arthropoda; Insecta; Blattodea; Blattellidae. The record is from RNAcentral.
AAAUAAGAAGCAAUAAAUGCUAUUAGUUUCGACCUAAUCAUUGGUAUUAAUUUACCCUUAUUUA